Non-coding RNA from Phalacrocorax carbo (great cormorant), 509 nucleotides. NCBI's taxonomy places the organism in Eukaryota, Metazoa, Chordata, Aves, Suliformes, Phalacrocoracidae. The record is from RefSeq and is a predicted model, not a curated record.
GCCUGCACAGGAGGUAGCACAUAAGAAUAGCUCCAGCUCUGCUCCCUUUCAGGGCUUCUAUCACGUGCAUGUUACGGAGUGCUUGUUUAAGCUAAUACCUCUCUUUCUAUUCUUUGGGACAGAUUUUUCAACAGGGCUUUAGAAAGGCAGCUACAGAAUAACGCUCCUCAUAAUGCACAUGCCAGCCCUUCACAAGGCAGCUUGACAGGCGCCUGGCAGGCAGCAGCGGUGGUAACCGAAGGGCUCGGGGUUGAUGCUUGCAGCCAGUCCCUGCUCAGAGGAAAAGGUGGGAAAACCCUGGCACACGGAGGCUGAGUGAUUGUGAGUGAUGCAGAAGUGAACUUUUGGCUGUGUCGGUGAUACAAAUAACGUCUCGAGUCUGAGCCCUCACCAGCAGAUCAAGGCCUCCAUAUGACUAGAAGAAUGUGCUGCAGUAUUCAGUGCACAUAUUGUUCUUCCUCAAAGGGGCAGAAGUGUGCACGUCAUUAAAAGGAAAUAUUUUAUGCUGA